This 852-nucleotide ribosomal RNA is filed under the name Auriscalpium sp. MEL 2363817. Its description in RNAcentral is "LSU rRNA". It matches the Rfam family "Eukaryotic large subunit ribosomal RNA", at positions 76 to 911 of the family's 3401-position model. Lineage: Eukaryota; Fungi; Basidiomycota; Agaricomycetes; Russulales; Auriscalpiaceae. The record is from RNAcentral.
UCCCCUAGUAACUGCGAGUGAAGCGGGAAAAGCUCAAAUUUAAAAUCUGGCGGUCUUCUGGCCGUCCGAGUUGUAGUCUGGAGAAGCGUUUUCCGUGCUGGACCGUGUGCAAGUCUCCUGGAACGGAGCGUCGUAGAGGGUGAGAAUCCCGUCUUUGACACGGACCCCCAGUGCCCUGUGAUGCGCUCUCGAAGAGUCGAGUUGUUUGGGAAUGCAGCUCAAAAUGGGUGGUGAAUUCCAUCUAAAGCUAAAUAUUGGCGAGAGACCGAUAGCGAACAAGUACCGUGAGGGAAAGAUGAAAAGCACUUUGGAAAGAGAGUUAAACAGUACGUGAAAUUGUUGAAAGGGAAACACUUGAAGUCAGUCGCGUCGACCGAGACUCAGCCUCGCCCUCUGGCCUGGUGUACUUCUCGGUGGACGGGCCAGCAUCGAUUUUGAUCGUCGGACAAGGGUGAGAGGAAGGUGGCACCUUCGGGUGUGUUAUAGCCUCUCGUCGUAUACGGCGGUUGGGAUCGAGGACCACGGCACGCCUUUAUGGUCGGGGUUCGCCCACGUUCGUGCUUAGGAUGCUGGCGUAAUGGCUUUAAAUGACCCGUCUUGAAACACGGACCAAGGAGUCUAACGUGCCCGCGAGUGUUCGGGUGGAAAACCCGUGCGCGCAAUGAAAGUGAAAGUUGGGACCUCCGUCGUGGAGGGCACCGACGCCCGGACCAGACCUUCUGUGACGGAUCUGCGGUAGAGCGUGUAUGUUGGGACCCGAAAGAUGGUGAACUAUGCCUGAAUAGGGUGAAGCCAGAGGAAACUCUGGUGGAGGCUCGUAGCGAUUCUGACGUGCAAAUCGAUCGUCAAAUU